Molecule: ribosomal RNA, 253 nt
Filed under: uncultured bacterium
Lineage: Bacteria
Description: partial 16S ribosomal RNA
Rfam family: Bacterial small subunit ribosomal RNA
Source: RNAcentral
UACGGAGGGUGCAAACGUUGCUCGGAAUCAUUGGGCGUAAAGCGCACGUAGGCGGUCCGGUGUGUCGGGUGUGAAAUCCCUCGGCUCAACCGAGGAAGUGCAUUCGAAACUACCGGACUUGAGUAUGGAAGAGGGUCGCGGAAUUCCCGGUGUAGAGGUGAAAUUCGUAGAUAUCGGGAGGAACACCAGUGGCGAAGGCGGCGACCUGGGCCAAUACUGACGCUGAGGUGCGAAAGCGUGGGGAGCAAACAGG